UACGUAGGGUGCGAGCGUUGUCCGGAAUUAUUGGGCGUAAAGAGCUCGUAGGCGGUUUGUUGCGUCGGCCGUGAAAACCUGCAGCUUAACUGUGGGCCUGCGGCCGAUACGGGCAGGCUUGAGUUCGGUAGGGGAGACUGGAAUUCCUGGUGUAGCGGUGAAAUGCGCAGAUAUCAGGAGGAACACCGGUGGCGAAGGCGGGUCUCUGGGCCGAUACUGACGCUGAGGAGCGAAAGCGUGGGGAGCGAACAGG
This 253-nucleotide ribosomal RNA is filed under the name uncultured bacterium. Its description in RNAcentral is "partial 16S ribosomal RNA". It matches the Rfam family "Bacterial small subunit ribosomal RNA", at positions 524 to 776 of the family's 1533-position model. The record is from RNAcentral.